Molecule: ribosomal RNA, 253 nt
Filed under: uncultured bacterium
Lineage: Bacteria
Description: partial 16S ribosomal RNA
Rfam family: Bacterial small subunit ribosomal RNA
Source: RNAcentral
UACGGAGGGUGCGAGCGUUGUCCGGAAUCACUGGGCGUAAAGGGCGCGUAGGUGGCCCGUCAAGCGCGCGGUGAAAGCCCGGGGCUCAACCCCGGGUCGGCCGUGCGGACUGGCGGGCUCGAGCACUGUAGGGGCGGGUGGAAUUCCAGGUGUAGCGGUGAAAUGCGUAGAUAUCUGGAGGAACACCGGUGGCGAAGGCGGCAUCCUGGACCGGUAUUGACGCUGAGGCGCGAAAGCCAGGGGAGCAAACGGG